Non-coding RNA from Pelobates cultripes (western spadefoot toad), 290 nucleotides. The record is from the annotation of a GenBank genome assembly. NCBI's taxonomy places the organism in Eukaryota, Metazoa, Chordata, Amphibia, Anura, Pelobatidae.
CCUUUACAUUCUUUAGCUAGAAAUGUGUUCUGUGAAAAUGCACGUUCUCAAAUAAACCUAUCACCUCUCCCCUUCCUAUACUUCCAUAUGAUUACUAUAAUAACAAGUCUCUACUCCAAACCCUACCUUAGCUAUCACUGCCUAUGGCGUACUGCCCUAAACCAUCAAACGUCACUCCAAUCAAGGUGUUAUGGUGCCUGGAGUAUUCCUUUAAGAGCUUGCUUUAUUAUGCCUGCUUUUUACGGUGUACUAAACAUUGCCUUUUUAGGAUUGCAUUGCUCUGUGUUAUU